UUCACGGUAUUGCAAUGAGAACAAUUUAAAACCCUUAGCGAGAAUCAAGUGGAGGACAAGUCUGGUGCCAGCACCCGCGGUAAUUCCAGCUCCUCUAGCGUAUAUUAAAGUUGUUGCAGUUAAAAAGCUCGUAGUUGAACCUCUGUCUGGGGCUAGUUUUGGCUUUGGUCAGGCUAGAUCUAGGCAUCCGCCUACAAGACUUAGAGGGCAUUCAGUUGUUCACUAGGAGGAGUAGGCAUUUUACUUUGAAAAAAUUAGAGUGUUUAAGGCAGGCAAUCGCCCGCAUAUAUUAGCAUGGAAUAAUAGAAUAGGACACUUUUCCAUUUCGUUGGUUAUUGGAAUCGUGUAAUGAUUAAUAGGGACAGUUGUGGGCAUUUGUAUUUAAUUGUCAGAGGUGAAAUUCUUGGAUUUAUUAAAGACAAACUAACGCGAAAGCAUUUGCCAAGGAUGUUUUCAUUAAUCAAGAACGAAAGUUAGGGGAUCAAAGACGAUCAGAUACCGUCCUAGUCUUAACUAUAAACUAUUCCGACUCAAUGUUUGACUGGCUUAUAUAACCAGUUGAGCGUUGUAUGAGAAAUCAAAGUCUUUAGGUUCUGGGGGGAGUAUGGUUGCAAAGCUGAAACUUAAAGGAAUUGACUGAAGAGCACAACCAGGAGUGGAUUCUGCGGCUUAAUUUGACUCAACACGGGGAAACUUACCAGGUUAAAACAAUAGUGGGAUUGACAGUUUGAGAGCGCUUUCUUGAUUGGUUGGGUGGUGGUGCAUGGCCGUUCUUAGUUGGUGGAGUGAUUUGUCUGCUUAAUUGCGUUAACGAACGAGACCUUAACCUGCUUACUAGACUGGCGAUCAUCAAUCGUUAGCUCUUCUUAGAGGGACUUUGGUUGUUUUAACUCCAAGGAAGUUUGAGGCAAUAACAGGUCUGUGAUGCCCUUAGAUAUCCUGGGCCGCACGCGUCAUACAAUGACUAGUUCAGAAAGUUUUCUCCUGACCCGAAAGGGGGUGGGUAAUCUUGAUAAUACUAGUCGUGUUAGGGAUCGAUCUUUGCAAUUAUAGAUCUUGAACGAGGAAUUCCUAGUAAGUGCGGUUCAUCAGACCGUACUGAUUACGUCCCUGCUCUUUGUACACACCGCCCGUCGCUUCUACCGAGUGGGCGGUCCGGUGAGAUAAUUGAGCUUCGCAGGUAACUGAGAGGAAAGAUUAUCAAACCUAUCCACCU
This 1216-nucleotide ribosomal RNA is filed under the name metagenome. RNAcentral's name for it is "SSU rRNA". It matches the Rfam family "Eukaryotic small subunit ribosomal RNA", at positions 500 to 1774 of the family's 1831-position model. The record is from RNAcentral.